UACGUAGGGAGCAAGCGUUGUCCGGAAUCAUUGGGCGUAAAGCGCGCGUAGGUGGCCUCAUAAGUCCGCUGUGAAAGUCAAAGGCUCAACCUUUGAAAGCCGGUGGAUACUGUGGGGCUAGAGUACGGAAGAGGCGAGUGGAAUUCCUGGUGUAGCGGUGGAAUGCGCAGAUAUCAGGAGGAACACCAAUAGCGAAGGCAGCUCGCUGGGACGUUACUGACACUGAGGCGCGAAAGCGUGGGGAGCAAACGGG
This 253-nucleotide ribosomal RNA is filed under the name uncultured bacterium. RNAcentral's name for it is "partial 16S ribosomal RNA". It matches the Rfam family "Bacterial small subunit ribosomal RNA", at positions 524 to 776 of the family's 1533-position model. The record is from RNAcentral.